This 948-nucleotide ribosomal RNA is filed under the name uncultured bacterium. Its description in RNAcentral is "bacterial SSU rRNA". It matches the Rfam family "Bacterial small subunit ribosomal RNA", at positions 547 to 1500 of the family's 1533-position model. The record is from RNAcentral.
GGAAUCACUGGGCUUAAAGCGUACGUAGGCUGGUAUAUAGGCAUUUGUGAAUCCCUCGGCUCAACCGAGGAACUGCAGAGUGANCCAUAUAUCUUGAGACAGACAGAGGUCGUCGGAACGAUUGGUGGAGUGGUGAAAUGCGUUGAUAUCAAUCGGAACGCCGAAGGAGAAGUCAGGCGACUGGGUCUGUUNUGACGCUAAGGUACGAAAGCGUGGGUAGCGAACGGGAUUAGAUACCCCGGUAGUCCACGCCGUAAACAAUGUGCACUAGGUCGAGGGCGUUCUGACGCGACUCUCGGCCGAAGCGAAAGUGUUAAGUGCACCGCCUGGGGAGUACGGUCGCAAGGCUAAAACUCAAAGGAAUUGACGGGGGCUCACACAAGCGGUGGAGCAUGUGGCUUAAUUCGAAGCAACGCGAAGAACCUUAUCCUAGGUUUGACAUACACGGAUUAGCUAUAAGAAACUAUAGUGACACCUUCGGGUGGAACGUGAACAGGUGCUGCAUGGCUGUCGUCAGCUCGUGCUGUGAAGUGUCGGGUUAAGUCCCUUAACGAGCGCAACCCUUAUCGUUAGUUGCUAACAGGUAAUGCUGAGGACUCUAGCGAGACUGCCGGUGUUAAACCGGAGGAAGGUGGGGAUGACGUCAAGUCCGCAUGGCCUUUAUGCCUAGGGCUGCACACGUGCUACAAUGGCAAGUACAAAACGAUGCAAUACCGCGAGGUGGAGCAAAUCGCAAAAGCUUGCCCCAGUUCGGAUUGCAGGCUGCAACUCGCCUGCAUGAAGUUGGAAUCGCUAGUAAUCGUGGAUCAGCAUGCCACGGUGAAUACGUUCCUGAGCCUUGUACACACCGCCCGUCAAGUCAUGGAAGCUGGUAGUGCCUUAAGUCGCCGAGAUUCAUCGGUGCCCACGGCAAGACUGGUGACUGGGACUAAGUCGUAACAAGGUAAC